Molecule: long non-coding RNA, 1478 nt
Filed under: Eptatretus burgeri (inshore hagfish)
Lineage: Eukaryota; Metazoa; Chordata; Myxini; Myxiniformes; Myxinidae
Description: lncRNA (ENSEBUG00000017378.1)
Source: RNAcentral
UUUGCGGUGAUAUCACGCGAUCACCUGCACUGGACCGAGGACAUGUUUUGAUGACCGCUCUUCAAUUCUCCGAGGUUCAACCAAAGCGCAGCACGCGGGGUGCAUGCGAUCACCUGUGAGCCAUACACCUGGACCGUUUGGACCAUAUAUACACUUCCUCCAGGUCCGGCCAUUGUUCGAGCUCUGUUCCAACUGUGCCUGUGGACCGUAACCACUUCCUCCUGGUCCAAGCGCUGUUCGAGCUCUGUUCCCACCAACCCAAUUGUAAAAUAGAUCGACACGGAUAAGGUUCAACACUGAAAACGAGUUCGCCUCCGCUUCGACGACCAUGGUGUUAUUCAUUGAGUGUCGGGUCCAGGUGGGAAUGCUGCUCAAGUGCUGGGUCCUCGUGAUUGUCGCGCUCUGCGCUACCGGUGAGUAGGACACCACGGAGAGACAGAUGCACCGAACCUUCGCACAUUGUAAAACAAAGCUCUUCGCUUUGAUUGUGAGUAGAUCCCGUAUUUGUUUCACGUUGAUCGACGACGGUCUUUUCUUUCGGUGCAGGAUCUUAUUGCUUGUGGACAAACAGCGACCAAAACACCAUGAACAAAUUAAAAAAAUCUUCGACGGUCAUUGGUACCAACGGCCGGUCCUUGACUGUGAUGAGGUACAAGAGGCCUCUGAGCGAAAUGAACAUAGCAAAGUCAUGGAUCCCGGACCACACCGAGUGCCAGGAUGAUGCGCUUCCUUCACUAGAAGGGCGGCUCCUGGAGGAAUGUGAUCGCAGCGGGUCCUGCAGGCUGUGGCUGGAGACCGUGAGAACGAGCGAUGCAGGGGAAUUAGAGCUGCUCAUCAACGGCACUUGCACAAUUAUCCAGAUCAUCGUUAGACCAGAUUGCAGUGCAUCACAUCGCCUUGUUGCUGAACCUUCUGGUCCACCUUGGUUCAAUGAUUCUGUCACUCUGCACUGCACUGGCCCUUGGAAGCCAAGACAAAAGCAAAAAGGAUGGCAUAAAAGAAGAGGAGAAAUAAAACGACGACCAGGAGUUAGUGUGGUGAGGAAAACAGAAGGAAGAAGCGGAAGGAAUAACACAUUCCAGUGGACUCACAAUGGAAAACAAGUUUCCAAUGGCUCGACUGUGACUGUGAUUGGGGAUGGCAGGAGCGUCAAGAUCUCAAAUAUUGAAAAGGAGCAGCAAGGCUUGUGGUACUGCUCGAGGAUGGGCGGCCAUAAGAUGGGAUAUUGUCUCACUUGGACAGAGUCUGCCACUUCUUUAAACUGGAGCUGUCCACAAGCAGACAUGACAAAGCUUCAACCAAAUUACUUCAUCACCUCCUUUUCUGUCUCUCUCGCUGUCCCUGUUGGUGUGUUUUUUCUGUGCUUUGUGUUCAUCUUCUUCACAUGGCGUCGAUGGAAGAAUUCAGCAUCAGGUAUUGCAAAUGCGGUGUUGUUUGUCCCCAUUUCUGGCAUAAUCUUAAUGAUGCAAUUUAAGAGC